ACCCGCUGAACUUAAGCAUAUCAAUAAGCGGAGGAAAAGAAACUAACAAGGAUUCCCCUAGUAACGGCGAGUGAACCGGGAAGAGCUCAAAUUUGAAAUCUGGCAGUCUUCGAUUGUCCGAGUUGUAAUCUAUAGAAGCGUUUUCCGUGCUGAACUGUGUAUAAGUCCCUUGGAACAGGGUAUCAAAGAGGGUGACAAUCCCGUACUUUACACAAUCAUCAGUGCUCUGUGAUACGUUCUCUACGAGUCGAGUUGUUUGGGAAUGCAGCUCAAAAUGGGUGGUAAAUUCCAUCUAAAGCUAAAUAUUGGCGAGAGACCGAUAGCGAACAAGUACCGUGAGGGAAAGAUGAAAAGCACUUUGGAAAGAGAGUUAAACAGUACGUGAAAUUGUUGAAAGGGAAACGAAAUUCAUGAAUCAUGUUUAUUGGACUCAGCCGUUCUUCGGUGUACUUCCUUUAAACGGGUCAACAUCAGUUUUGUCCGAUGGAUAAAGGUAGUAGGAAGGUGGCUCUCUCGGGAGUGUUAUAGCCUAUUGCUGCAUACAUUGGAUGAGACUGAGGACUGCAGCUUGCCUUUAUGGCCGGGGUCGCCCAC
Molecule: ribosomal RNA, 594 nt
Filed under: Apiotrichum porosum
Lineage: Eukaryota; Fungi; Basidiomycota; Tremellomycetes; Trichosporonales; Trichosporonaceae
Description: eukaryotic LSU rRNA
Rfam family: Eukaryotic large subunit ribosomal RNA
Source: RNAcentral